RNAcentral lists this ribosomal RNA (253 nucleotides) under uncultured bacterium. RNAcentral's name for it is "partial 16S ribosomal RNA". It matches the Rfam family "Bacterial small subunit ribosomal RNA", at positions 524 to 776 of the family's 1533-position model. The record is from RNAcentral.
UACGUAGGGAGCAAGCGUUGUCCGGAAUCAUUGGGCGUAAAGCGCGCGUAGGCGGCCCGAUAAGUCCGUUGUGAAAGUCAAAGGCUCAACCUUUGAAUGCCGAUGGAUACUGUCGGGCUAGAGUCCGGAAGAGGUGAGUGGAAUUCCUAGUGUAGAGGUGAAAUUCGUAGAUAUUAGGAAGAACACCAGUGGCGAAGGCGGCUCACUGGCCCGGUACUGACGCUCAUGUGCGAAAGCGUGGGGAGCAAACAGG